This 467-nucleotide ribosomal RNA is filed under the name uncultured bacterium. RNAcentral's name for it is "partial 16S ribosomal RNA". It matches the Rfam family "Bacterial small subunit ribosomal RNA", at positions 29 to 507 of the family's 1533-position model. The record is from RNAcentral.
ACGAACGCUGGCGGCGUGCUUAACACAUGCAAGUCGAACGGAAAGGCCCUGCUUUUGUGGGGUGCUCGAGUGGCGAACGGGUGAGUAACACGUGAGUAACCUGCCCUUGACUUUGGGAUAACUUCAGGAAACUGGGGCUAAUGCCGGAUAGGAGCUCCUGCUGCAUGGUGGGGGUUGGAAAGUUUCGGCGGUUGGGGAUGGACUCGCGGCUUAUCAGCUUGUUGGUGGGGUAGUGGCUUACCAAGGCUUUGACGGGUAGCCGGCCUGAGAGGGUGACCGGCCACAUUGGGACUGAGAUACGGCCCAGACUCCUACGGGGGGCAGCAGUGGGGAAUAUUGCACAAUGGGCGGAAGCCUGAUGCAGCAACGCCGCGUGCGGGAUGACGGCCUUCGGGUUGUAAACCGCUUUCGCCUGUGACGAAGCGUGAGUGACGGUAAUGGGUAAAGAAGCACCGGCUAACUACGUG